AGGAGAUUGAAGAGAGGGAUUAACUGGUAGCAUGUGUCCAUAAUGCUGUAUAUCCAAGAACUUUUAUUUAUUAUAUUUCCCUAGAGUAAAGAGUUCCAAACUGGACCAGUGGCUCAUCAUGAGGAAGUGAGGAAGUUGAAAAUGUUUCCAGUCUUCAUUGGUCCUGAGGUCACAACUCAGUUCACUAGAUCCCUGCCAAACUCCAGAAAAUGGAAGGGAGUAAGAAAUCAUCCCUGUCAAUGACAGACUUCCAAGCAGAUGGAUUACUAAAUUGGAAAGAAGAUUAGGAGAAUGCUGAAGAGCCUAAUUUACAUGGAUUUCAGAAAAUUAUCUGGCAGUCUCUCAUGCUCUCCUUGUAAACAUAUUGAAGAUAACACAGAAAUUGUCAUAUUCACUCCAAUCUUCACCAACCACAAUCAUAAACAGCAACCUUCAACAAUGAAGCAAGACCCUCCACUAGCAAGAAGAUUAUAAUUGUUGAAAGCUCAGCUGAUGGGUUAGUGUUCUUUUUAGCAAUAAAGUAUUUUUAAAUUAAGGUUAUAUGCA
Molecule: long non-coding RNA, 546 nt
Filed under: Monodelphis domestica (gray short-tailed opossum)
Lineage: Eukaryota; Metazoa; Chordata; Mammalia; Didelphimorphia; Didelphidae
Description: lncRNA (ENSMODG00000030317.2)
Source: RNAcentral